UUUUAUUGGAGGAAGGUGGGGAUGACGUCAAAUCAUCAUGCCCCUUAUGACCUGGGCUACACACGUGCUACAAUGGGGUUUAACAAAGAGAAGCGAAAUCGUGAGGGGGAGCAAAUCUCAAAAAAAUAGUCUCAGUUCGGAUUGUAGGCUGCAACCCGCCUACAUGAAGUUGGAAUUGCUAGUAAUCGCGGAUCAGCAUGCCGCGGUGAAUACGUUCCCGGGUCUUGUACACACCGCCCGUCACACCAUGGGAGUCGGGAACACCCG
Molecule: ribosomal RNA, 267 nt
Filed under: Oxalobacter formigenes
Lineage: Bacteria; Pseudomonadati; Pseudomonadota; Betaproteobacteria; Burkholderiales; Oxalobacteraceae
Description: partial 16S ribosomal RNA
Rfam family: Bacterial small subunit ribosomal RNA
Source: RNAcentral